UACGGAGGGUGCGAGCGUUGUCCGGAAUUAUUGGGCGUAAAGGGCUCGUAGGCGGUUUGUCGCGUCGGGAGUGAAAACCCAGGGCUUAACCCUGGGCUGGCUUCCGAUACGGGCAGACUAGAGGUAUGCAGGGGAGAACGGAAUUCCUGGUGUAGCGGUGAAAUGCGCAGAUAUCAGGAGGAACACCGGUGGCGAAGGCGGUUCUCUGGGCAUUACCUGACGCUGAGGAGCGAAAGUGUGGGGAGCGAACAGG
RNAcentral lists this ribosomal RNA (253 nucleotides) under uncultured bacterium. Its description in RNAcentral is "partial 16S ribosomal RNA". It matches the Rfam family "Bacterial small subunit ribosomal RNA", at positions 524 to 776 of the family's 1533-position model. The record is from RNAcentral.